This 16-nucleotide ribosomal RNA is filed under the name Phialocephala cf. fortinii CSP17. Its description in RNAcentral is "partial 28S ribosomal RNA". Lineage: Eukaryota; Fungi; Ascomycota; Leotiomycetes; Helotiales; Mollisiaceae. The record is from RNAcentral.
GGUUGACCCUCGGAUC